AGUGAACGCUGGCGGUGUGCCUAACACAUGCAAGUCGAGCGGCAACACAAUGAGAGCUUGCUCUUACGGUUAGCGAGUGGCGGGCGGGUAAGGCGUAGAUCGGAAUCUACUUUUUCGUGGGUGAUAACGUAGGAAAACUGACGCUAAUACCUCAUACAACCUACGGGUUGAAUCAGUAGAUCUUCGCACCUUUCGCGAUUGUAUUAGCCGAUUUCGGAUUGGCUAGUUGGCUUGGUAAGGUCCCAACAAAGCGACGAUACGUUGCUUGUCUGAGAUGAGGAUGAGGCACAAUGGAAAUGAGAACAGGUCCAGAACCCUACGGGAGGCAGCAGUGGGGAAUAUUGGACAAUGGGCGAAAGCCUGAUCCAGCAAUACCGCGUGGGUGAAGAAGGUCUUCGGGUCGUAAAGCCCUUUUGUUGGGAAAGAACAGAAGCAGGUUAAUACACCGCUGUUCUGACGGUACCCAAAGAAUAAGCACCGGCUAACUUCGUG
This 492-nucleotide ribosomal RNA is filed under the name uncultured bacterium. RNAcentral describes it as "partial 16S ribosomal RNA". It matches the Rfam family "Bacterial small subunit ribosomal RNA", at positions 29 to 507 of the family's 1533-position model. The record is from RNAcentral.